Non-coding RNA from Caenorhabditis elegans, 21 nucleotides. NCBI's taxonomy places the organism in Eukaryota, Metazoa, Nematoda, Chromadorea, Rhabditida, Rhabditidae. The record is from Ensembl.
UCAUAAUGAGAGCUGAUCGAU